UACGUAGGGGGCAAGCGUUGUCCGGAUUUAUUGGGCGUAAAGAGCGUGUAGGCGGCCAGACAGGUCCGUUGUGAAAACUCGAGGCUCAACCUCGAGAUGUCGAUGGAAACCGUCUGGCUAGAGUACGGAAGAGGAGAGUGGAAUUCCUGGUGUAGCGGUGAAAUGCGCAGAUAUCAGGAGGAACACCAACGGCGAAGGCAGCUCUCUGGGACGUUACUGACGCUGAGACGCGAAAGCGUGGGGAGCAAACAGG
This 253-nucleotide ribosomal RNA is filed under the name uncultured bacterium. RNAcentral's name for it is "partial 16S ribosomal RNA". It matches the Rfam family "Bacterial small subunit ribosomal RNA", at positions 524 to 776 of the family's 1533-position model. The record is from RNAcentral.